RNAcentral lists this transfer RNA (71 nucleotides) under Loxodonta africana (African savanna elephant). Its description in RNAcentral is "tRNA-Gly (TCC) (tRNA-Gly-TCC-26-1)". It matches the Rfam family "tRNA". From Rfam's summary of the family: Transfer RNA (tRNA) molecules are approximately 80 nucleotides in length. The record is from Rfam by way of RNAcentral. Lineage: Eukaryota; Metazoa; Chordata; Mammalia; Proboscidea; Elephantidae.
GCAGUGGUGGUUCAGUGGUAGAACACUUGCCUUCCAUACAGGGGACCCAGGUUCGAUUCCUGGCCAAUGCA